GUUAGGAAUAUUGGACAAUGGGCGAAAGCCUGAUCCAGCCAUGCCGCGUGAGUGAUGAAGGCCUUAGGGUUGUAAAGCUCUUUUGUCCGGGAAGAUAAUGACUGUACCGGAAGAAUAAGCCCCGGCUAACUUCGUGCCAGCAGCCGCGGUAAUACGAAGGGGGCUAGCGUUGCUCGGAAUCACUGGGCGUAAAGGGCGCGUAGGCGGACUUUUAAGUCGGAGGUGAAAGCCCAGGGCUCAACCCUGGAAUUGCCUUCGAUACUGGGAGUCUUGAGUUCGGAAGAGGUUGGUGGAACUGCGAGUGUAGAGGUGAAAUUCGUAGAUAUUCGCAAGAACACCGGUGGCGAAGGCGGCCAACUGGUCCGAAACUGACGCUGAGGCGCGAAAGCGUGGGGAGCAAACAGGAUUAGAAACCCUAGUAGUCC
This 425-nucleotide ribosomal RNA is filed under the name uncultured bacterium. RNAcentral's name for it is "partial 16S ribosomal RNA". It matches the Rfam family "Bacterial small subunit ribosomal RNA", at positions 354 to 796 of the family's 1533-position model. The record is from RNAcentral.